AGUGAACGCUGGCGGUAGGCCUAACACAUGCAAGUCGAACGGCAGCACAGUAAGAGCUUGCUCUUACGGGUGGCGAGUGGCGGACGGGUGAGGAAUACAUCGGAAUCUACUUUUUCGUGGGGGAUAACGUCGGGAAACUUACGCUAAUACCGCAUACGACCUACGGGUGAAAGCAGGGGAUCUUCGGACCUUGCGCGAUUGAAUGAGCCGAUGUCGGAUUAGCUAGUUGGCGGGGUACAGGCCCACCAAGGCGACGAUCCGUAGCUGGUCUGAGAGGAUGAUCAGACACACUGGAACUGAGACACGGUCCAGACUCCUACGGGAGGCAGCAGUGGGGAAUAUUGGACAAGGGGCGCAAGCCUGAUCCAGCCAUACCGCGUGGGUGAAGAAGGCCUUCGGGUUGUAAAGCCCUUUUGUUGGGAAAGAAAAGCAGCAGGUUAAUACCCCGCUGUUCUGACGGUACCCAAAGAAUAAGCACCGGCUAACUUCGUG
Molecule: ribosomal RNA, 492 nt
Filed under: uncultured bacterium
Lineage: Bacteria
Description: partial 16S ribosomal RNA
Rfam family: Bacterial small subunit ribosomal RNA
Source: RNAcentral